GACAGAGGGUGCAAACGUUGUUCGGAAUUACUGGGCGUAAAGCGCGUGUAGGCUGCCUCGAAAGUCAGGUGUGAAAGGCCCUGGGCUCAACCCAGGAAGUGCACUUGAAACUUCGAGGCUCGAGUCCCGGAGAGGGUGGCGGAAUUCUCGGAUGUAGAGGUGAAAUUCGAUAGAUAGUCGAGAGGAACACCGGUGGCGAAGGCGGCUACCUGGACGGUGACUGACGCUGGAGACGCGAAAGCCGUGGGGAGCAAACAGG
Molecule: ribosomal RNA, 259 nt
Filed under: uncultured bacterium
Lineage: Bacteria
Description: partial 16S ribosomal RNA
Rfam family: Bacterial small subunit ribosomal RNA
Source: RNAcentral